Molecule: ribosomal RNA, 433 nt
Filed under: uncultured bacterium
Lineage: Bacteria
Description: partial 16S ribosomal RNA
Rfam family: Bacterial small subunit ribosomal RNA
Source: RNAcentral
AACGAACGCUGGCGGCAUGCCUAACACAUGCAAGUCGAACGAGACCUUCGGGUCUAGUUGCGCACGGGUGCGUAACGCGUGGGAACCUGCCCUUAGGUUCGGAAUAACUCCCCGAAAGGGGUGCUAAUACCGGAUAAUGUCUUCGCACCAAAGAUUUAUCGCCUUUGGAUGGGCCCGGGUUGGAUUAGCUAGUUGGUAGGGUAAAAGCCUACCAAGGCGACGAUCCAUAGCUGGUCUGAGAGGAUGAUCAGCCACGCUGGGACUGAGACACGGCCCAGACUCCUACGGGAGGGAGCAGUGGGGAAUAUUGGACAAGGGGCGAAAGCCUGAUACAGCAAUGCCGGGUGAGUGAUGAAGGCCUUAGGGUUGUAAAGCUCUUUUACCCGGGAUGAUAAUGACAGUACCGGGAGAAUAAGCUCCGGCUAACUACGUG